This 253-nucleotide ribosomal RNA is filed under the name uncultured bacterium. RNAcentral describes it as "partial 16S ribosomal RNA". It matches the Rfam family "Bacterial small subunit ribosomal RNA", at positions 524 to 776 of the family's 1533-position model. The record is from RNAcentral.
UACGAAGGGGGCUAGCGUUGCUCGGAAUUACUGGGCGUAAAGCGCACGUAGGCGGAUUGUUAAGUCGGGGGUGAAAUCCUGGAGCUCAACUCCAGAACUGCCUUCGAUACUGGCGAUCUCGAGUUCGGGAGAGGUGAGUGGAACUGCGAGUGUAGAGGUGAAAUUCGUAGAUAUUCGCAAGAACACCAGUGGCGAAGGCGGCUCACUGGCCCGAUACUGACGCUGAGGUGCGAAAGCCAGGGGAGCGAACGGG